UACGUAGGUGGCAAGCGUUAUCCGGAAUUACUGGGUGUAAAGGGAGCGCAGGCGGGAUAACAAGUCAGCGGUGAAAUUUAUGGGCUCAACCCAUAAACUGCCGUUGAAACUGUUAUUCUUGAGUGGAGUAGAGGCAGGCGGAAUUCCGAGUGUAGCGGUGAAAUGCGUAGAUAUUCGGAGGAACACCAGUGGUGAAGGCGGCCUGCUGGGCUCUAACUGACGCUGAGGCUCGGAAGUGUGGGGAGCAAACAGG
RNAcentral lists this ribosomal RNA (253 nucleotides) under uncultured bacterium. Its description in RNAcentral is "partial 16S ribosomal RNA". It matches the Rfam family "Bacterial small subunit ribosomal RNA", at positions 524 to 776 of the family's 1533-position model. The record is from RNAcentral.